RNAcentral lists this ribosomal RNA (251 nucleotides) under uncultured prokaryote. Its description in RNAcentral is "partial 16S rRNA". It matches the Rfam family "Bacterial small subunit ribosomal RNA", at positions 525 to 775 of the family's 1533-position model. The record is from RNAcentral.
ACAGAGGUGGCGAGCGUUGUUCGGAUUUACUGGGCGUAAAGGGUGCGUAGGUGGUCUCGUAUGUCGGAUGUGAAAUCCCACUGCUCAACGGUGGAACUGCAUUGGAAACUGCGAGACUGGAGUGCAGGAGGGGAGAGCGGAAUACUUGGUGUAGCGGUGAAAUGCGUUGAUAUCAAGUAGAACAUCGGUGGCGUAGGCGGCUCUCUGGAAUGCAACUGACACUGAGGCACGAAAGCUAGGGGAGCAAACAG